RNAcentral lists this transfer RNA (73 nucleotides) under Dipodomys ordii (Ord's kangaroo rat). It matches the Rfam family "tRNA". From Rfam's summary of the family: Transfer RNA (tRNA) molecules are approximately 80 nucleotides in length. Their secondary structure includes four short double-helical elements and three loops (D, anti-codon, and T loops). Further hydrogen bonds mediate the characteristic L-shaped molecular structure. tRNAs have two regions of fundamental functional importance: the anti-codon, which is responsible for specific mRNA codon recognition, and the 3' end, to which the tRNAs corresponding amino acid is attached (by aminoacyl-tRNA synthetases). tRNAs cope with the degeneracy of the genetic code in two manners: having more than one tRNA (with a specific anti-codon) for a particular amino acid; and 'wobble' base-pairing, i.e. permitting non-standard base-pairing at the 3rd anti-codon position. The record is from Rfam by way of RNAcentral. Lineage: Eukaryota; Metazoa; Chordata; Mammalia; Rodentia; Heteromyidae.
AAAGGUAUUGCUCAAGUGGUAGAGUAUCUGCCUAGCAAGCAUGAAGUCCUGAGUUCAAAUCUUAGUACUUCCA